UACGUAGGUGGCAAGCGUUGUCCGGAUUUACUGGGUGUAAAGGGCGUGUAGGCGGAGAUACAAGUCAGGAGUGAAAUCUGGGGGCUCAACCCCCAAACUGCUUUUGAAACUGUAUCCCUUGAGUAUCGGAGAGGCAGGCGGAAUUCCUAGUGUAGCGGUGAAAUGCGUAGAUAUUAGGAAGAACACCAGUGGCGAAGGCGGCCUGCUGGACGACAACUGACGCUGAGGCGCGAAAGCGUGGGGAGCAAACAGG
This 253-nucleotide unclassified non-coding RNA is filed under the name uncultured Oscillospiraceae bacterium. RNAcentral describes it as "contains 16S-23S intergenic spacer region". It matches the Rfam family "Bacterial small subunit ribosomal RNA", at positions 524 to 776 of the family's 1533-position model. The record is from RNAcentral. Lineage: Bacteria; Bacillati; Bacillota; Clostridia; Eubacteriales; Oscillospiraceae.